Lycium barbarum (goji berry) is the source of this 3273-nucleotide long non-coding RNA. RefSeq lists it as uncharacterized. The record is from RefSeq and is a predicted model, not a curated record. NCBI's taxonomy places the organism in Eukaryota, Viridiplantae, Streptophyta, Magnoliopsida, Solanales, Solanaceae. The transcript has 2 exons.
UCACCCCUCUCUCUUCUUCAUUACCUUCUCCUCUCUCAUCUUCUUCAUCCGCCGCCUCACGUUCCUCUCCUGCCAUCCCACACUCUCCUCCACUUACCCUGUCCCCCACGCCUCUGUCACCCACUCACCUCUGUCCCCCGCUCUCGUCUCUCUCCUACGCUCCCUUUUCUCUUCUCUUUAAACCCUAAUGACAGUCUUAUAAAUAGGGAGAGCAUUUUCAUAAAUGGGGGAGAGUGUUUUCGAGGAUUCCAUGGUUUCCUUGACAGUUUUAAAAAUUCAAAAACCUUAUUUCUGUUUGCUCUUUUAUUAUUUUGAAGUCGGGUCUAUAAGAGAAUUCAGGGAUUCAACACCGAUUAGGUAUUGAACGUUGAUUAGGGAGAUUAUUAGAUACGGAGUAUUGUUAUCACUAAGUCUUAAGUUUCUUUUAUCCUGUUCUUGGUUUUUAUUAAAAUCAGAAAAAUACUUUUGUUGAAGAUGCGAGAUUUGUGACGAAGUUAAGUUCUUGACGCUUCGAUUAACUUUCGUCGUUGCUCGGCGAUAAUUUUAAUUACGACGGAAGUACUUUAAUUAUUGACUCGAGUCGCAAACCUGUCGACGCGAGAGUAGAUUCGAGGCUUUGACAUCCCCACUUCACUGUACCACAAAAGGUAAUAUCAUCUGCUGUUUAGUUUCUUUAGCGGAUAAUGUUGUGUUGAAAUCGUGUUUGGACUUGAAACCGGGUAGGUUUUGUUGAUGUUUAUUAUUUCAAAAUAAUUUCUUAAUUCUGUGUUUUUUUUUGUAUUAUUUGGAGUUCAACAUGGCUUGGUUUAUUUGACAAUAGUCUUAGCUUCACUUUGUUUUGGUACUGUGAGUCGUCGUUUUUUUUUGUGUGUUCGCUGUUUUGUUAGAAAUAUCCGUCAGUCGCUGCCUAGGUAGAAAUUAUGUCCCUAGGGAUCAUUCGUUUUUUAGCAUUACAAUCUUAAAGAGAACGUCUUUGUUUGGAGUUGAUAUGUGAAUGGGUGCUAUCCAGUAUACCUAAGUGCCGUUAAUAGAAUGUACAUUCCCCUGUUUUGUAUGACAUUAAAGCUUCAAAUAUCAUGUACAACUUCAGGCAUGUUGUCGGCGGUCUGCUUUGUUCAUAGUUGAUUAGGAACAUAAAUGAAAUGUCCAAAUCCGUCUAUCUGUCGAGAAAUAUAAGCUCAGUUUGUAUAGGUAGAUGUUUCAGUUUGUUUUCUCUUCCCUUCUAUAGGAAUUAAACUAAGGGUGAUUUUUCUUCGAUAAGUGAUAAAUACUUUGGCUAAAGUUUCUAUUAAAAGGUUGCAAGCUUCAUCUCUCUUUAAACUUUCAUUUAUGUCCUGUUUCCAACUUUAUGUGAGUCAAGUUUUGUUUGGAUUACUCAGUUAAUAUUUUUUUUCCUCAUUGGUCUUCUAUUCGAAAAUGAUGUCUGGUAAUACUUUAAGAUCAAUCUCCCCUUUAAACUUGUCGAAAUCUGAUUUUUGAGUUUUGUUCUAAUGGACAUAGAGAAUCUCUGUUUCGAAUAGAUUAUUACUCGAAGGUGUUUUAUGUUGCAAAAGUGUUAAGUCGUCUGUAUUUCAAACGCAAAAUAUCAUCCUCUGUUCAAGUCCCAUCUUUUCAGUGAAUAUAUUUUAGUCAUGGGCUGUAAUUGGUUUUAUUCAAUCUUGUUUGGUAUUUGAAGAAGUUUGAUUUGAUGCUGCUAAAUAUUAGAACCUGCUUCAAGUGACUGUUGCUUUGCCUAGAUUUCCUUUAAGUUUAACAAUGUCGGGCUGUCGGUUUGCAGACUUAGCGGGUGUGUGUUAAAAUCAGAAGUCAUUGUUUUUCGUUUAAUCUGAAUUUGCGGUUGUCGUAUAAAGGAUUUUCUAUUAUGUGUCCAGCGAGAAAGAAAGAAAAGAAUUAUCAAGUCAUUACGUUACUUGAAAAAUGGAAUGGGGUCAAAAUUUAGUUCAGUCAGUGUUUGGAAUUAAUAUUGGCUUUGUUUGAAGUAAACUCAUGUGAACACAAUGUUAGUAAUAAUAUUCCUACUUAAGUGUGGAGCUUAAUCGUUUUGUAUGCCUUUGGUCUCUCUCUAUAUGACAAUGAUGUGCUGAGUAGGAAUAGGAUUCAUCUCUGAGUUUAAAUAUUGACUUGUGUAAAAAUAAAUUAGAUAGGCAGAUGGUACACUGAUAUACACCAGUCAUGGCAGCCCCGUGUGUUUAUAAGGUAGCACAUCGUCUAAGUAAGCCCGCGAUUGUAAAGUCUUUGCCCUUCCAGUGUUUUGAUUAAGAGCCCGUUUGGAUUGGCUUAUAAGUUGGCUUAUAAGCUGUUUUCAGCUUUUUUGAGUGUUUGGCUGGCCAGCUUAAAGUCAUUUUAUGCUUAAAAUAAGCUCAAAAAAAUAAUUGAACCCAUUUGACUUAGUUUAUCUAAAGCAGCUUAUAAGCUGAAAACAGCUUAUAAGCCAAAAAAAAUAAGUUGGACUACCCCAACUUAUUUUUUUCAGCUUAUAAGCUGCAAACAGCUUUAAGCUGUAAGCCAAUCCAAACGGGCUCUAAAGCUUGUUCCUUUCUAUAUUCUGUUGGGUUUGGUUUUGUCCCUUGAUCAUUUAAACCCCUCUGGCUGCCACUAUUCACGCAACUUCCUUUAUCUAAAUUUCUGCUGUUACUUUUCUUUUUCCUUUUUUAUACAUUUGAAGUAUAGGUCUUAUAAAUCUUCACCGUACUAAUCCUUUUCUUUUGUUUUAUGCAUGAUCAUCUCACAUACGAGUCCGAGGAACUUGUCAUCCCCGCAUUCGGCGUUGGGCUAAAGCCCAACAAAAUCUUCUCCCUCUGUUCCAGUCUCUCUGUCCGCAGCUAAGGAGAUAAAAAAUGAGGUUCUGGGCCGAAGCCCAAAUAGAAAAUAAUAGUCGCAGCAGUCCAUGAAAGUGGGCUGAGCCCACUUCCGGUUUUGUUGUGCGCACUAGCUACAAUAAGAUAAAAAAACAGCACUGACGAGCAAAAAAAUGAGUGUGCUGAGGGGCAAUGACUUUCUCGCAGCUGACGCGCUCUUGCUUCUUGCUGUAAACUGGUCCUUUUUCAUUCUUGAUGUUUACUUGCUAUAGUCCAACUUAGAAAUUGCAAAGGAGCUAUUGGGUGAUCUUCAAUCUGAUUAGUAUUCAAUACUUCUACUUUAGUUUGAUUAGAUUUCAUUGGUUGAAUAAUGGUAAUCCCAGUUUGUAUAAUUAUGUAUUUAUAAAGUUUGUUGUUGGGUAUUGUGACGUUUUGGUGAUGAAAUAGUUAAUUUAUUGAUUAAUUGUAUCUCUAA